RNAcentral lists this long non-coding RNA (643 nucleotides) under Pan troglodytes (chimpanzee). RNAcentral's name for it is "long non-coding RNA NONPTRT004255". The record is from RNAcentral. Lineage: Eukaryota; Metazoa; Chordata; Mammalia; Primates; Hominidae.
AUGGGCAUCCCACCCCAGCACUUUCUAGGAAGGAGGGCAGCAUUUUGAAGGGCUGGAAGUAGAGGAAGGAGGUUGCGGGUAGAAGACUCCAUACUUUCUGUGAUGCCUAUUCCUUAGGAGAGCCUUUAUAUAACCAAAGAUAUUUUUGGACCAUGAAUUCGGAAAUUCUCGGAGCCACCCAUCAGUGCCUGAGCUUCAGUGAGUCCAUAUCCCAUGUCACCCACGGCAAAGGAGAAUCUAAGACUUCUGAAGAGUUUCUUGCUUCUUUCCUGUGGGGCAGUGACUCCACUUCCCAGCAGUAAUGGAAUAUCCUGAAUUAGCUACAUUAAUGUUAGAACCAUUUGGACCUCACCCAGGACUUCAACUACAUUAUGGUUCUAGUAUGUUAGGUUUAUGUUCCCCUGCUUUCUACAAUCCUGUUCAAAGAGUUGCUGACUUAACCACAGAGAGGAUUCCAGAACAUGAGACACAGAAUAAACUUGAGCAAUCAUAGUCCAUCCACUUCAUUUUCUCAUCAAAAACCAAAGGUCCAGUGAAGCUCUGGAACUCAACGCUGUAAAGGAGCGAAGGAGCUUCUAUACAGAGCCUGGAUGCCUGUCUCCUUAUCCUACUUCAGUGGACUUGACUGCAAUCCGGACUAUGC